ACCCGCUGAACUUAAGCAUAUCAAUAAGCGGAGGAAAAGAAACCAACAGGGAUUGCCCUAGUAACGGCGAGUGAAGCGGCAACAGCUCAAAUUUGAAAUCUGGCCCUCGGGUCCGAGUUGUAAUUUGUAGAGGAUGCUUUUGGUGCAGUGCCUUCCGAGUUCCUUGGAACAGGACGCCUUAGAGGGUGAGAGCCCCGUACGGUUGGACACUAAGCCUCUGUAAAGCUCCUUCGACGAGUCGAGUAGUUUGGGAAUGCUGCUCUAAAUGGGAGGUAAAUUUCUUCUAAAGCUAAAUACCGGCCAGAGACCGAUAGCGCACAAGUAGAGUGAUCGAAAGAUGAAAAGUACUUUGAAAAGAGGGUUAAAUAGCACGUGAAAUUGUUGAAAGGGAAGCGUUUAUGACCAGACCUUUGUCUAGCGGAUCAUCCGGUGUUCUUCACCGGUGCACUUCGCUAGGCUCAGGCCAGCAUCGGUUUCUGUAGGGGGAUAAAGACCAUGGGAACGUAGCUCCCUCUCAGGGGAGUGUUAUAGCCCUAGGUGUAAUACCUCUACGGGGACCGAGGUUCGCGCUUCUGCAAGGAUGCUGGCGUAAUGGUCAUCAACGACCCGUCUUGAAACACGGACC
Molecule: ribosomal RNA, 625 nt
Filed under: Diatrypella atlantica
Lineage: Eukaryota; Fungi; Ascomycota; Sordariomycetes; Xylariales; Diatrypaceae
Description: eukaryotic LSU rRNA
Rfam family: Eukaryotic large subunit ribosomal RNA
Source: RNAcentral